AGGGGCGGAUGUAGCCAAGAGGAUUAAGGCAGUGGAUUGUGAAUCCACCAUGCGCG
RNAcentral lists this transfer RNA (56 nucleotides) under Ligustrum vulgare (common privet). Its description in RNAcentral is "partial tRNA-His". The record is from RNAcentral. Lineage: Eukaryota; Viridiplantae; Streptophyta; Magnoliopsida; Lamiales; Oleaceae.